UCAGCGGCUGACGGGUGAGUAACGCGUGGGAACGUGCCUUCUGGUUCGGAAUACCUCAGGGAAACUUGAGCUAAUACCGGAUACGCCCUUUUUGGGGAAAGGUUUACUGCCGGAAGAUCGGCCCGCGUCUGAUUAGCUAGUUGGUGGGGUAACGGCCUACCAAGGCGACGAUCAGUAGCUGGUCUGAGAGGAUGAUCAGCCACACUGGGACUGAGACACGGCCCAGACUCCUACGGGAGGCAGCAGUGGGGAAUAUUGGACAAUGGGCGCAAGCCUGAUCCAGCCAUGCCGCGUGAGUGAUGAAGGCCUUAGGGUUGUAAAGCUCUUUUAUCCGGGACGAUAAUGACGGUACCGGAGGAAUAAGCCCCGGCUAACUUCGUGCCAGCAGCCGCGGUAAU
Molecule: ribosomal RNA, 398 nt
Filed under: uncultured bacterium
Lineage: Bacteria
Description: bacterial SSU rRNA
Rfam family: Bacterial small subunit ribosomal RNA
Source: RNAcentral